RNAcentral lists this ribosomal RNA (253 nucleotides) under uncultured bacterium. RNAcentral's name for it is "partial 16S ribosomal RNA". It matches the Rfam family "Bacterial small subunit ribosomal RNA", at positions 524 to 776 of the family's 1533-position model. The record is from RNAcentral.
UACGUAGGGGGCGAGCGUUGUCCGGAAUUACUGGGCGUAAAGGGUGCGUAGGCGGCCUGAUAAGUCAGGUGUGAAAUACCAGGGCUCAACUCUGGGGGUGCACUUGAAACUGUCGGGCUUGAGUGCAGGAGAGGAAAGCGGAAUUCCUAGUGUAGCGGUGAAAUGCGUAGAUAUUAGGAGGAACACCAGUGGCGAAGGCGGCUUUCUGGACUGUAACUGACGCUGAGGCACGAAAGCGUGGGUAGCGAACAGG